RNAcentral lists this ribosomal RNA (492 nucleotides) under uncultured bacterium. RNAcentral's name for it is "partial 16S ribosomal RNA". It matches the Rfam family "Bacterial small subunit ribosomal RNA", at positions 29 to 507 of the family's 1533-position model. The record is from RNAcentral.
AUUGAACGCUGGCGGCAUGCUUUACACAUGCAAGUCGAACGGUAACAGGCCUUCGGGUGCUGACGAGUGGCGAACGGGUGAGUAAUGCAUCGGAACGUGCCCAGAGGUGGGGGAUAACGCAGCGAAAGCUGUGCUAAUACCGCAUGUGAUCUGAGGAUGAAAGCGGGGGACCAGGCAGCAAUGUUUGGCCUCGCGCCUUUGGAGCGGCCGAUGUCAGAUUAGGUAGUUGGUGGGGUAAAGGCCUACCAAGCCGACGAUCUGUAGCUGGUCUGAGAGGACGACCAGCCACACUGGGACUGAGACACGGCCCAGACUCCUACGGGAGGCAGCAGUGGGGAAUUUUGGACAAAGGGCGCAAGCCUGAUCCAGCAAUGCCGCGUGCGGGAAGAAGGCCUUCGGGUUGUAAACCGCUUUUGUACGGAACGAAAAGGCACUGGCUAAUACCUGGGGCUGAUGACGGUACCGUAAGAAUAAGCACCGGCUAACUACGUG